RNAcentral lists this ribosomal RNA (583 nucleotides) under uncultured cyanobacterium. Its description in RNAcentral is "bacterial SSU rRNA". It matches the Rfam family "Bacterial small subunit ribosomal RNA", at positions 126 to 738 of the family's 1533-position model. The record is from RNAcentral. Lineage: Bacteria; Bacillati; Cyanobacteriota.
CUGCCUAGAGGUCGGGGACAACCAUUGGAAACGAUGGCUAAUACCGGAUAUGCCUUACGGGGUGAAAGAUUAAUCGCCUUUAGAAGAGCUCGCGUCUGAUUAGCUAGUUGGUAGGGUAAAAGCCUACCAAGGCAUCGAUCAGUAGCUGGUCUGAGAGGAUGACCAGCCACACUGGGACUGAGACACGGCCCAGACUCCUACGGGAGGCAGCAGUGGGGAAUUUUCCGCAAUGGGCGAAAGCCUGACGGAGCAAGACCGCGUGAGGGAGGAAGGCUCUUGGGUCGUAAACCUCUUUUGUCAGGGAAGAACAAAAUGACGGUACCUGACGAAUCAGCAUCGGCUAACUCCGUGCCAGCAGCCGCGGUAAUACGGAGGAUGCAAGCGUUAUCCGGAAUUAUUGGGCGUAAAGCGUCCGCAGGUGGCUGAUCAAGUCUGCGGUCAAAGACCGGGGCUUAACCCUGGAAAGGCCGUGGAAACUGAUCAAGCUAGAGUACCGUAGGGGUAGAGGGAAUUCCCGGUGUAGCGGUGAAAUGCGUAGAGAUCGGGAAGAACAUCGGUGGCGAAAGCGCUCUACUGGACGGUG